CAGAACCAGACGAAAUUUAUCACCUGUAAAAGAAUUCAGAAUAAUGAAAAUUACUCUUUAAAGGAUAAAUUAGAAAAAAAUAUAAAAACAUUGAAAUCUUUUUAUCUUUGUUUAAAUGUCAAUACGAAAAAAUCUGCAAUGUCGGAACACGGAAAUUGAUAUCUAAUAAUAAAUCUCAAGGCAACUGCAUCAAAAAUAUACUAGGGGCGUUACAAACGUUUCGCCACGUUUCGAACGAAAUUCACGGUUGAUUGCAUCUAAACCAAUAGAAUUAUUGUAUCUUCAUUUUGCUAUUUUCAUCAACUAGAUACAUGUACAUAUGCGUGCAAUAAACAUACAAGAAACAAUUAACGUUUUUCUAUUUUAUUAUAAUAUCACAAUAUUGUACAUGACAGUACGUCAUACAAUAUGUCACAUUCAAAAAACACGAAAACUGCAAUAUAUCACGUCGAUUAUAUGCAUUAUGCCAUUAUAUGCAUUAUGCAUUAAGAAUGCAAAGAAUAAAGUAAUCCUAAGAAAUUAUAAAAUUGAGAUCUUCCAAUUACAUAAAAUAUUACGCUUAAUCAAAAAGCAAUUGAAAUGAAUAUAUAAAAUAUAUAUUGAAAAUAUAUAAAAAUAAGUUUGAUUCUGAAAACAAAUAUAUAUCAUAAUAUUAAAUUAUACUUAUAUUAAACAAAUUGUCAAAUAUUAACAUAAAAAUUAACAAAUUAACAUUAAAAAGAAUCCUAUAUAGAUCUAUUCAAUUAAAAGAUAAAACAUUAAGAAACCCUCACAUAAGAAGGGUUACCAUUCCUGGAGAACAAGGGUCAAGGUUAAAAGUCUAUGCUGUGUCGAUGAUACAUAUAGUAUGGUAAUCGAUAUUACCGGCGGUGGCAAUGUCGAGGGGAAUAUAAAGACGAAUGAAAACGAAGCUGGAAAAAUCUGCAUAACCAAUUGAUCAUGUUACGAGACGUAUAUGGGGUCAGGCUUACAUCACGAUAAUAGCAUAACGAUUAUAGAUUAUCUAGUUGAACGAUACAGGAUCAUAUUAUCAACCCCAGUCAUAUUAACCAAUACGAACCCGGCAAAGGAUAUGGGCUCGUGUGAUUUACAGCAUUAACCUUGACACUGACAGCAACGCGUAUCGUUAAUUUGCUCACAUUAGAGGGAUAUAUUAACACUUUAUAUUAAAUUUAGGCAUUCGUAGAAUGCAAGUUUUCGAAGUCUAAACUUAUUAACUACACUGUGUUAUAAAUAUUUGAUUCUAUUUAAAACAUCAAUACGAUAUAUAUAUAUACAUAUAAGAAAAAAUAUGGCACACAAAAUUAUGUUGCAAUACAUUAUGAAUAAAUGUUUAAGUAAAACUCUGUUUCAUGUAAAAAGAAUAAAAGCUAAUAAUAUUAUGUAACACAUUCAGAAACAUUAACCACCCCCAUGAAUUCAGCUUAACAUGUUCCGGGGUCUAUCGAAAACCGCCAUCUUGUCUCACGACGUCAACCACAGACAAGAGAAAGAGAGAACUUAACGAUAGUUUAUAUCCAUUCUUCACAUGAUGCGCAUCCGUAUUUGUCGCGUAGGACAUUCUACUUUUGUUCUAUAUUCCAAUAUUCACACAUUUACACUAUGAUUUGUCUCAAAAUGAUUUCAGAACAGUUACAGUCACAACUCAAGAUAUUUCUUGAAUAACUGCAUAUGACAUUUACAUUAACUUCGAUUUAUUUGCAAUAUUUCAUUUCUUUUUCGAUGCUUGUAUUCGACACAAUCAUAACACACAUUUUAACUUGGCGUAAUUCAACAUGUCCGUACGUCGUGUAAUGUAGGUUAGUCGCGCGACGCGAAACGAAACUGCGUGUACAUGUACAAAAUCAUGGCACGUAACGCGCAUCGGCGAAGAAACCGGUAGAAAAAGCGCGCGCGAUACGCGACAGGAAGGUAAAUGUGAAUACACGAUGAAACGACACAACGAUGAUGACCACGACGAUGGAUGAGCGAUACCAGCAAAUAAGCAUACGAUCAGAGAGAGAGCACGGACACACAUACACAGCUACUUCUCCCAGCGAACGAGUAUCGCGACCGACACGGCUACGAGUCGUGGACGUUUUGACCUUGGCAUUGAACUUAUGGGAGCUGCCGGGUGAGGUAGGAGAGAGGAGUGAAACACGAGCGAACGGGACGAAGAGAGGGGAGUAGAACGUGGUACGAGCAAAGCCGGGCGCAUGGGAGGGAGAUUGCGUCAUCUCGCGCAAGCCUGUGCGCCGCGCGUCAAUACAGCGGGACUGCCUGGCCCUAUGGACUAACCUUCGUUCCCCUUCCCAAACGCAAUUCUAUCUCACUCUGUUCUGCACAAUCGACAAGCUCCUUCCUGCAAAAUCCAUCCCGCCUCUUUGCUCCUCGCCAACGGAAGUAGAAUAAUAUUACGAAAAGAUAAGAGGAAGAGAUAAAAUAAAACUACGCGAUAUUAAAACUUGUGGGGGAAUAAAGACAGAAGAGAAUCUUCAAAGUAGCAAAAACAGGAUAUGAAUCUGUAAACAUAGUAAGCAGGCAGGGGUGGAUCGACGAUGCGGUGUACCCCACCUCUUUCUCCCACCCUUGCUAUCGGUGGGUGUGACGCACCCACUCCCUCUGCAGCGCCCGAAUCAACGAGAUACAUCCAGAACUGUUCGUGAGACGAGUCAAAAUGACGAUAUUUGAAGGGUGGGGGGUUGGGAGUUUGCUGCAGCGUGACGUGGCCUUGGGCGCAUUUAUGAAUCUAAUAUAUCACGAAUGCUAUUUUUUUCAUCUAUCUUAACUGACUUUUCUUAACUGAUGAUAAGUUUAUUCUAAUUUAAGAAUAAUUAAAAAAUUGUCUAAUAAUCUAAUUGUUAUAUACAUUUAUUCUUCUACACUUCAAUAAUCAAUAAAUAUUUUUUCUUUAUA
Long non-coding RNA from Apis cerana (Asiatic honeybee), 2895 nucleotides. RefSeq lists it as uncharacterized. The record is from RefSeq and is a predicted model, not a curated record. Lineage: Eukaryota; Metazoa; Arthropoda; Insecta; Hymenoptera; Apidae.